RNAcentral lists this small RNA (760 nucleotides) under Pongo abelii (Sumatran orangutan). Its description in RNAcentral is "processed transcript". The record is from RNAcentral. Lineage: Eukaryota; Metazoa; Chordata; Mammalia; Primates; Hominidae.
GAGAAGAGGAAACGUCAGCGCCAAAAGAAGGCUCGGGAGGAACGCCGCCGAGAGCGCAGGAUUGAGAUAGAGGAGAACAAGAAACAGGGCAAGUACCCAGAAGUCCACAUUCCCCUCGAGAAUCUACAGCAGUUUCCUGCCUUCAAUUCUUAUACCUGCUCCUCUGAUUCUGCUUUGGGUCCCACCAGCACCGAGGGCCAUGGGGCCCUCUCCCUUUCUCCUCUCAGCAGAAGUCCAGGUUCCCAUGCAGAUGCUGAGGGUUGGAAAAGCAAAAGCAGAUGUGUGGCCCAAAACUGCUCCAAAGAAAGAUGAGAACAGCUUAGUUCCUCCUGCCCCUGUGGACAGCGAUGGGGAGAGUGAUAGUUCAGACCGUGUUCCUGUGCCCAGUUUUCAAAAUUCCUUCAGCCAAGCUAUUGAAGCAGCCUUCAUGAAACUGGACACACCAGCUACUUCAGAUCCCCUCUCUGAAGAGAAAGGAGGAAAGAAAAGAAAAAAACAGAAACAGAAGCUCCUGUUCAGCACCUCAGUCGUCCACACCAAGUGACACUACUGGCCCAGGCUACCUUCUCCAUCUGGUUUUUUUGUUUUUUUUUCCCCCAUGCUUUUGUUUGGCUGCUGUAAUUUUUAAGUAUUUGAGUUUGAACAGAUUAGCUCUGGGGGGAGGGGGUUUCCACAAUGUGAGGGGGAACCAAGAAAAUUUUAAAUACAGUGUAUUUUCCAGCUUCCUGUCUUUACACCAAAAUAAAGUAUUCACACUCAC